GGUUAAGCGACUAAGCGUACACGGUGGAUGCCCUGGCAGUCAGAGGCGAUGAAGGACGUGCUAAUCUGCGAAAAGCGUCGGUAAGGUGAUAUGAACCGUUACAGCCGGCGAUGUCCGAAUGGGGAAACCCAGUGUGAUUCGUCACACUAUCGUUAACUGAAUACAUAGGUUAACGAGGCGAACCGGGGGAACUGAAACA
This 199-nucleotide ribosomal RNA is filed under the name Klebsiella aerogenes. Its description in RNAcentral is "partial 23S ribosomal RNA". It matches the Rfam family "Bacterial large subunit ribosomal RNA", at positions 1 to 200 of the family's 2925-position model. The record is from RNAcentral. Lineage: Bacteria; Pseudomonadati; Pseudomonadota; Gammaproteobacteria; Enterobacterales; Enterobacteriaceae. RNAcentral also lists the same sequence under 4 other names.